AAGGGAAGGGACUGUGGAAUUGGGACGGAAGACAGAAAAGGGUGGUCCUGAUGGUGUAAAAAGCCUGUGGGAAGUGCAGGUAGCAGCAUGUUGUCCUGACAGCUGUUUCAACUUCUCAGACCUUGUCAGUUCACUGCUAUGUAGCAGGUGCAGCCUUUUCUUUUCCUGAAUCUUUACUCCAUAAAGGCAACAACAAGUCAAGGCAGAGGCUGGCCCUGGAUUUAUACAAGUGCAGACACCACUAAGUGAGGUGAAACAUACAACUAGACGCAUAGGUUCGAGUGCCCACAUGAUCACCACAGCAAGGGUACCUGCUGAUAAAAGGAUACGAAUUGCCUUCAGUCUAAAUGAUUCCCCAGAUGAUUCACCCCCAGAGAAUGCCUUUCCUUUGGCUUUUCCAAAUCUAGAACAGCAGCUCCAG
Protobothrops mucrosquamatus (brown spotted pit viper) is the source of this 421-nucleotide long non-coding RNA. RefSeq lists it as uncharacterized. The record is from RefSeq and is a predicted model, not a curated record. Lineage: Eukaryota; Metazoa; Chordata; Lepidosauria; Squamata; Viperidae. The transcript is spliced from 3 exons.